CAGUACCUAAUAAUCGUAGCAGUACUAGUAAUAGUGAUGCACAUGCCUUAGCCCACACCAUCUAAGUCAUCUCUUGGUGAACUCUAGACUCCUGUGGGAGUAAAGCCUCCCAGCAGUCACAUGACCAGUCAGGCAAACAAAAUGACUCUUUAUUUCAUGAAUCAAAUCAUGCAUUUAAGUUGGUCAACAAUACAAAAGCACAGCAGGCUCUUUGAAGUCACAGGAUUCCUAAGUGACUUUGCUGUUGACGGAGACAUUUGCAGGUUUCAAUCCACGGUCAGUUGGCUCCGUUACUCUGGGCCUGAGGUGCGGCGGAACAUCGUGGCAGAAGGACACGCAGAGGAGAGCUAUUGGCUCAUGGCAGCCGGGAAGCAGAGAAGAGCCUGACACAAUCAACCUUUAAGAAGAUCAAGUCCAUUUGUCCUAGGGUUUUAGGCCAUGAUCACUUGGCCCUGCUGCUCUGGCCUUGUCAUGGCACUGUAUGUUGAGCAGGACACAAACAUGAAGCAGGAGGCCUAUUCACCCCACAGCAGCCGGGAAGCAAAGAGAUGAGAGGCAGCCAGGGAACCUCCAAUGACCUCACCUCCUCCCAUGAGGACCCACCUUCUAAAGGUUCUACCACCUCCCAGUGUCACAGCCUGGUGAUGAAUCCUUCACCACACGGACCCCUGUGGGACACUUCUAAACCACAGUAAUACGAACAACACGAUCCCAUUUGGAGGGAAGUACGGUAUAGUGCAGCGGUUCUCAACCUUCCUGGCCUCAGGAGCUCUUUACAUUCAGACAUUACUAAGACCCCCAAAGAACCUUUGUGUCACACACGCGCGCACACACACACACACACACACAUGUUCUGUAUAUUGAUCGAUACAUAGAUGUUUACUGUACUUGAAAAUAAAAUUUUUUAUGAACUUAUUUAAAAAACAACAUCCAUUUUACAUUUUUAAAAAUGUAUUUUAUGAGAACAAACUAUAUUUCCAUUGUCCCCACCAAAUUAGAGAGUGGUAUUGUUUUAC
RNAcentral lists this long non-coding RNA (1016 nucleotides) under Marmota monax (woodchuck). Lineage: Eukaryota; Metazoa; Chordata; Mammalia; Rodentia; Sciuridae. The record is from RNAcentral.